UUAUCCUGGGUGAGACUGAUUCAAUCAGCUGAAAGACCUCAGGAGCGGAACUGAGGCUUCCCUGAGAAAACAUAAAUUCUGCCUAUGGACAGCAAUUUCAGUUCACCCCUAAAAUCCCACCCUCCUCUUUCUGAUGGCCUGUGCUGUGGACUUCCGAUGUGCCUUGCCAGCGCCCACAAUCAUGUGCAGCAAGUUGCCUUUUUAAAAUGUGCACUUUGGCCGGGUGUGGCAGCUCACUCUUGUAAUCCUAGCACUUCGGGAGGCCGAAGUGGGAGAACUGCUUGAGGCCAGGAGUUCGAGACCAGCCUGGGCAACAUCGUGAGACCACAUCUGUACAACAAAUAAAAUUUAAAAAAAUAUUAGCCAGGCAUGGUGGUGCAUGCCUAUAGUCCCAGCUACUUGGGAGGCUGAG
RNAcentral lists this long non-coding RNA (412 nucleotides) under Homo sapiens (human). Its description in RNAcentral is "non-protein coding lnc-TRIML2-2:1". The record is from RNAcentral. Lineage: Eukaryota; Metazoa; Chordata; Mammalia; Primates; Hominidae.